Non-coding RNA from Schistosoma haematobium, 45 nucleotides. NCBI's taxonomy places the organism in Eukaryota, Metazoa, Platyhelminthes, Trematoda, Strigeidida, Schistosomatidae. The record is from Rfam.
AUCCAGCUGACGAGUCCAAAAUAAGACGAAACGCGCGUUCUGGAU